ACUCAUUUUUGUCUCACAAAAAAAUAAACCCAAAAGUGUAAGAUUUGAGUCUACUUUUUCGUGAGACAAAAAGAAGCCU
Non-coding RNA from Solanum tuberosum (potato), 79 nucleotides. Lineage: Eukaryota; Viridiplantae; Streptophyta; Magnoliopsida; Solanales; Solanaceae. The record is from RefSeq and is marked provisional.